Molecule: ribosomal RNA, 433 nt
Filed under: uncultured bacterium
Lineage: Bacteria
Description: partial 16S ribosomal RNA
Rfam family: Bacterial small subunit ribosomal RNA
Source: RNAcentral
AACGAACGCUGGCGGCAUGCCUAACACAUGCAAGUCGAACGAGACCUUCGGGUCUAGUGGCGCACGGGUGCGUAACGCGUGGGAACCUGCCCUUAGGUUCGGAAUAACUCCCCGAAAGGGGUGCUAAUACCGGAUAAUGUCUUCGGACCAAAGAUUUAUCGCCUUUGGAUGGGCCCGCGUUGGAUUAGCUAGUUGGUAGGGUAAAAGCCUACCAAGGCGACGAUCCAUAGCUGGUCUGAGAGGAUGAUCAGCCACACUGGGACUGAGACACGGCCCAGACUCCUACGGGAGGCAGCAGUGGGGAAUAUUGGACAAUGGGCGAAAGACUGAUCCAGCAAUGCCGCGUGAGUGAUGAAGGCCUUAGGGUUGUAAAGCUCUUUUACCCAGGAUGAUAAUGACAGUACCGGGAGAAUAAGCUCCGGCUAACUCCGUG